This 253-nucleotide ribosomal RNA is filed under the name uncultured bacterium. Its description in RNAcentral is "partial 16S ribosomal RNA". It matches the Rfam family "Bacterial small subunit ribosomal RNA", at positions 524 to 776 of the family's 1533-position model. The record is from RNAcentral.
UACGUAGGGGGCAAGCGUUGUCCGGAUUUAUUGGGCGUAAAGAGCGUGUAGGCGGUUUGGUAGGUCCGCUGUGAAAACUCGAGGCUCAACCUCGAGACGCCGGUGGAAACCAUCAGACUAGAGUCCGGAAGAGGAGAGUGGAAUUCCUGGUGUAGCGGUGAAAUGCGCAGAUAUCAGGAAGAACACCCGUGGCGAAAGCGGCUCUCUAGGACGGUACUGACGCUGAGACGCGAAAGCGUGGGGAGCAAACAGG